Molecule: ribosomal RNA, 269 nt
Filed under: uncultured prokaryote
Description: partial 16S ribosomal RNA
Rfam family: Bacterial small subunit ribosomal RNA
Source: RNAcentral
GACGAAGGUGGCUAGCGUUGUUCGGUGUCACUGGGCUUAAAGCGUGUGUAGGCGGAAUGGUAAGCGUCUUGUGAAAUCCCUCGGCUUAACCGAGGAAUUGCUUGGCGAACUGCCUUUCUUGAGGCAGGUAGGGGUCAGUGGAACUGUUGGUGGAGCGGUGGAAUGCGUAGAUAUCAACAGGAACGCCGGUGGAGAAAUCGGCUGACUGGGCCUGUCCUGACGCUGAGACACGAAAGCGUGGGGAGCGAACGGGAUUAGAUACCCCCGUA